AGAAUCAACGCUGGCGGCGUGCCUAACACAUGCAAGUCGAACGAGAAAGUGGAGCAAUCCACAAGUAAAGUGGCGCACGGGUGAGUAACACGUGACUAACCUACCCUUGAGUGGGGGAUAACCUAGAGAAAUCUGGGCUAAUACCGCAUAAUACCUUCGGGUCAAAGGAGCAAUUCGCUUAAGGAGGGGGUCGCGGCCGAUUAGUUAGUUGGCGGGGUAAUGGCCCACCAAGACUGUGAUCGGUA
Molecule: ribosomal RNA, 245 nt
Filed under: uncultured bacterium
Lineage: Bacteria
Description: partial small subunit ribosomal RNA
Rfam family: Bacterial small subunit ribosomal RNA
Source: RNAcentral